AUUGAACGCUGGCGGCAUGCCUUACACAUGCAAGUCGAACGGCAGCACGGGAGCAAUCCUGGUGGCGAGUGGCGAACGGGUGAGUAAUAUAUCGGAACGUGCCCAGUCGUGGGGAUAACGUAGCGAAAGCUACGCUAAUACCGCAUACGAUCUAUGGAUGAAAGCGGGGGAUCGCAAGACCUCGCGCGAUUGGAGCGGCCGAUAUCAGAUUAGGUAGUUGGUGAGGUAAAGGCUCACCAAGCCGACGAUCUGUAGCUGGUCCGAGAGGACGACCAGCCACACUGGGACUGAGACACGGCCCAGACUCCUACGGGAGGCAGCAGUGGGAAUUUUGGACAAUGGGCGCAAGCCUGAUCCAGCAAUGCCGCGUGCAGGAUGAAGGCC
Molecule: ribosomal RNA, 384 nt
Filed under: uncultured bacterium
Lineage: Bacteria
Description: bacterial SSU rRNA
Rfam family: Bacterial small subunit ribosomal RNA
Source: RNAcentral